GGGUUUUUCACCACAAGAGCAAAUUAUACAACUUUAUUCUUGAAAAUGUUAGAGACUGAGACUUGGAGUCAAAGUCAACAGACACGCUUGCAUGGACAUGAAGGAUGUAAAGAACUAGAGUAUUAUAACUGAAAGCAUUUUGUCUGGAUUUGUGUAUGGAAACAGAAGGAUUUAGUAUUGGUAUCCUGAAUUUUUGUCAACUUCUAGCCAAGAUCCUGUACUUAAGCUGAAUGUGGAGGACAGAUGUACACACAGUACUAGUAUAGAGGGUAUUAUCUCGGUACCUUAAAACUCCAAACGACAGGGAGAAGAAGAAAACUGCAUAUUUCCGAUGUAUCUUCACAGCAACAUGACCCAAAGCACUACCAUUAAAGGAUUUGAUUUGACAUUAAGGAAGUAAAAAAAUGAAGGCAUUAGUCAUAAAGAAAAUUAAAGAACUUUAUGUCUGAAUAUUAUAUCAACAAUACCAUAGAUCUAAAGAUGGAUUAUUUUGCCUUAUAAUUUAUAUUAAUGCAUGUACAUGUAAUUUUAUUCUUUUUAUAUAUACAAUCAUGUAGUGUUACCAUUUUUCACAAAGCUUAAAAAGUUAUGUAGGGCCACACCAAUUUAAUUUCUUGUUCGUCGGACAUUUGAUUUAAAAAAAGUACAAGCAGUUAAAUGAUAAUAUUAUUACUCUUUGCUGGGCAAUUUUUUAGGCGGAGCGUGAAAAUUUGAGCGGACAAUUAUAUUUUUUCUGAUUUACAGAGUAAGCAGAUAUAAAAUACAAUAAAUAGAGCGGAAAUGGAACAGAAAAUAGCACAGAAUUCCUAUGGUGCGAGAAAUUGAAAUUAAUAUUAUUUGUAUGGUUUUGUUUAAAUAAGCGCGUGGGUCCGACGAACAAAAAUUUUCAUUAGUGUGGCCUAGAUCAUUUAGAUUCAAUUCAUUUUUUUCUUCAAAUUACCACAUGCCAGAAUUCAUAAGAAGGAAAUUUAUAUAUGGCUGGUGGUUGUGGCCAUUUUAGACUAUAUUGAUCUCCUUUAGAAGGAGAGCUCCUUAUAAAAUUAUACAAAAAAUGACCAAAUUUUAAAACUAAAAUGUACAGAAUUUUUCUUUGCCAAAUGAUAGUUCAUAGAACCACAAUUCUUCAAUCAUGUCUACUUGGAGAUCAGUGGAUGGAUAUUCAUAUACAAUACACAGCUGAAGCAGGUUUUGUUAGGUUAUUUUAUUUUCAAAAGGAAUGCAUUAUUUUCUUCAGUCCAUUAAUGUUAAGCUCUUUAAUAGAAACAAUUGUAGAAGAUUUAUCAUAUUUUGUUUAGAAUUUUGAAGAAUUUGUUAAUCACUCAGUGAAAAUUAUCCCUUGUCAUAAUACAAAUUUUUAAAAUGUAUGUACAAAUACUUUUAUGUUGAAAUGACCAUGCAAGGAAGAAAAUAAAACAAGUUUAAGUGUA
Saccostrea cuccullata (small rock oyster) is the source of this 1427-nucleotide long non-coding RNA. RefSeq lists it as uncharacterized. The record is from RefSeq and is a predicted model, not a curated record. Lineage: Eukaryota; Metazoa; Mollusca; Bivalvia; Ostreida; Ostreidae. The transcript has 3 exons.